Molecule: ribosomal RNA, 388 nt
Filed under: uncultured bacterium
Lineage: Bacteria
Description: bacterial SSU rRNA
Rfam family: Bacterial small subunit ribosomal RNA
Source: RNAcentral
AUUGAACGCUGGCGGCAUGCCUUACACAUGCAAGUCGAACGGUAACAGGUCUUCGGAUGCUGACGAGUGGCGAACGGGUGAGUAAUACAUCGGAACGUGCCCGAUCGUGGGGGGAUAACGAAGCGAAAGCUUUGCUAAUACCGCAUACGAUCUACGGAUGAAAGCAGGGGACCGCAAGGCCUUGCGCGAACGGAGCGGCCGAUGGCAGAUUAGGUAGUUGGUGGGAUAAAAGCUUACCAAGCCGACGAUCUGUAGCUGGUCUGAGAGGACGACCAGCCACACUGGGACUGAGACACGGCCCAGACUCCUACGGGAGGCAGCAGUGGGGAAUUUUGGACAAUGGGCGAAAGCCUGAUCCAGCCAUGCCGCGUGCAGGAUGAAGGCCUUC